GAUGAACGCUAGCGGCAGGCUUAAAUACAUGCAAGUCAAGGGGGUAGCAAUACAACCGGCGCACGGGUGAGUAACGCGUACACAACAUACCAUCUACUGGGGUAUAGCUUUGGGAAACUGAAGGUAAUCCCCCAUAACAUUGCGAGAGGGCAUCUGAUUGCAAUUAAAGUUUCGGCGGUAUAUGAUUGGUGUGCGUUUGAUUAGCUAGUUGGUAGGGUAACGGCCUACCAAGGCGACGAUCAAUAGCUGGCGUGAGAGCGCGACCAGCCACACUGGAACUGAGACACGGUCCAGACUCCUACGGGAGGCAGCAGUAGGGAAUAUUGGACAAU
RNAcentral lists this ribosomal RNA (332 nucleotides) under uncultured bacterium. RNAcentral's name for it is "bacterial SSU rRNA". It matches the Rfam family "Bacterial small subunit ribosomal RNA", at positions 28 to 372 of the family's 1533-position model. The record is from RNAcentral.